CGGGAUAUAGCGCAGUCUGGUAGCGCGCCUGCUUUGGGAGCAGGAUGUCGGGAGUUCGAAUCUCUCUAUCCCGACCA
RNAcentral lists this transfer RNA (77 nucleotides) under Oleispira antarctica. RNAcentral describes it as "tRNA-Pro". It matches the Rfam family "tRNA". From Rfam's summary of the family: Transfer RNA (tRNA) molecules are approximately 80 nucleotides in length. Their secondary structure includes four short double-helical elements and three loops (D, anti-codon, and T loops). RNAcentral also lists the same sequence under 6 other names. Lineage: Bacteria; Pseudomonadati; Pseudomonadota; Gammaproteobacteria; Oceanospirillales; Oceanospirillaceae. The record is from RNAcentral.